RNAcentral lists this ribosomal RNA (550 nucleotides) under uncultured Glomus. RNAcentral's name for it is "SSU rRNA". It matches the Rfam family "Eukaryotic small subunit ribosomal RNA", at positions 548 to 1098 of the family's 1831-position model. The record is from RNAcentral. Lineage: Eukaryota; Fungi; Glomeromycota; Glomeromycetes; Glomerales; Glomeraceae.
UUGGAGGGCAAGUCUGGUGCCAGCAGCCGCGGUAAUUCCAGCUCCAAUAGCGUAUAUUAAAGUUGUUGCAGUUAAAAAGCUCGUAGUUGAAUUUCGGGAUCAAUGUUUCGGUCAUGCCGUUGGUAUGUACUGAUAUUAUUGAUUUCUCACCUUCUAAAGAACCGUAAUGCCAUUAAUUUGGUGUCACGGGGAAUUAGGACUGUUACCUUGAAAAAAUUAGAGUGUUUAAAGCAGGCUCACGCUUGAAUACAUUAGCAUGGAAUAAUGAAAUAGGACAUCCGAUUCUAUUUUGUUGGUUUCUAGGAUCGAUGUAAUGAUUAAUAGGGAUAGUUGGGGGCAUUAGUAUUCAAUUGUCAGAGGUGAAAUUCUUGGAUUUAUUGAAGACUAACUACUGCGAAAGCAUUUGCCAAGGAUGUUUUCAUUAAUCAAGAACGAAAGUUAGGGGAUCGAAGACGAUCAGAUACCGUCGUAGUCUUAACCAUAAACUAUGCCGACUAGGGAUCGGAUGAUGUUAAUUUUUUAAUGACUCAUUCGGCACCUUACGGGAAAC